CAUCUCCUGGUUUCCAGUGAGAUGAACCCCAACUGGUCCUCUUUUUCCCAUUGAAGUACCCAACUUUCUUUCUCUAUUGUUUCUUUCUUUUCCCAGGAAAGACAAUCAAAGCCCUUAAUUGUGCCAUUCUUUAGUGAUUUGAUUCUUGGCUAAAGUUUCGAAAAAUGGGUCUCAAAGGUUUUGCUGAAGGAGGCAUAGCUUCAAUUAUUGCUGGGUGCUCCACUCACCCUCUGGAC
RNAcentral lists this unclassified non-coding RNA (236 nucleotides) under Hevea brasiliensis (rubber tree). Lineage: Eukaryota; Viridiplantae; Streptophyta; Magnoliopsida; Malpighiales; Euphorbiaceae. The record is from RNAcentral.